Molecule: unclassified non-coding RNA, 433 nt
Filed under: Mycosphaerella sp. Iso255
Lineage: Eukaryota; Fungi; Ascomycota; Dothideomycetes; Mycosphaerellales; Mycosphaerellaceae
Description: sequence contains ITS1, 5.8S rRNA gene, ITS2
Rfam family: 5.8S ribosomal RNA (bases 133-286)
Source: RNAcentral
CAUCGUCCCGACCUCCAACCCUUUGUGAACAUAUCUUGUUGCUUCGGGGGCGACCCUGCCGUUCGCGGCAUUCCCCCCGGAGGUCAUCAAAACACUGCAUUAUUACGUCGGAGUAAAAAGUUAAUUUAAUAAAACUUUCAACAACGGAUCUCUUGGUUCUGGCAUCGAUGAAGAACGCAGCGAAAUGCGAUAAGUAAUGUGAAUUGCAGAAUUCAGUGAAUCAUCGAAUCUUUGAACGCACAUUGCGCCCCCUGGUAUUCCGGGGGGCAUGCCUGUUCGAGCGUCAUUUCACCACUCAAGCCUCGCUUGGUAUUGGGCGUCGCGAGUCUCUCGCGCGCCUUAAAGUCUCCGGCUGUUUGACCCGUCUCCCAGCGUUGUGGCAACUAUUUCGCAGUGGAGUUCGAGUUGGAUCGGCCGUUAAAUCUUUCAAAGG